This 420-nucleotide unclassified non-coding RNA is filed under the name Hevea brasiliensis (rubber tree). The record is from RNAcentral. Lineage: Eukaryota; Viridiplantae; Streptophyta; Magnoliopsida; Malpighiales; Euphorbiaceae.
GUCCUUCCUAUUCCUUUCAACACACUCUUGGAAUUUAUCCUGAAAACAGUCUUUGCUUUCAAACAUAUGCUUCUUAUACAUAUUAAUGCUUGGCGUGCACAAAGAAUUGAGUAGUUUGUCAUAAUGAUAAUUGAUUAUGCAUUGUGUUAAUUUUUGUCUAGCAAGUGCCCCUCAUUUGGGUAAUCAAUACGUUGUUGAAUGCAUUAUAUUUCGUUUCAGUUUUAAAUAAGACGGAACUCUGAAAGCAACAUCAAAUAUGGAUUCCUUUAUAGUAGAACUCAACCUUACUAUGACGUAUGAUAAGAACUUCCUUGUAUUUUAAUAUAGCUAAGGCUAUUGACUUGCAGGCUGUUGAUCUAAAGAGUUCACAAGAUUUCUUCCCUGGUGUAAAGGCUUGCAAUGAAUUCUACCAAAUUUCAG